RNAcentral lists this ribosomal RNA (414 nucleotides) under uncultured microorganism. RNAcentral's name for it is "bacterial SSU rRNA". It matches the Rfam family "Archaeal small subunit ribosomal RNA", at positions 459 to 872 of the family's 1478-position model. The record is from RNAcentral.
CAGCAGCCGCGGUAAUACCGGCGGCCCGAGUGGCGGCCACUUUUAUUGGGCCUAAAGCGUCCGUAGCCGGGCUGGUAAGUCCUCCGGGAAAUCUGGUCGCUUAACGAUCAGACUGCCGGAGGAUACUGCCAGCCUAGGGACCGGGAGAGGCCGGGGGUAUUCCCGGAGUAGGGGCGAAAUCCUGUAAUCCCGGGAGGACCACCUGUGGCGAAGGCGCCCGGCCGGAACGGGUCCGACGGGGAGGGACGAAGGCCAGGGGAGCGAACCGGAUUAGAUACCCGGGUAGUCCUGGCUGUAAACGAUGCGGACUAGGUGUCACCGAAGCUACGAGCUUCGGUGGUGCCGGAGGGAAGCCGUUAAGUCCGCCGCCUGGGGAGUACGGCCGCAAGGCUGAAACUUAAAGGAAUUGGCGGG